UGAACGCUAGCUACAGGCUUAACACAUGCAAGUCGAGGGGAAACGAUAGAGAAAGCUUGCUUUUUCUAGGCGUCGACCGGCGCACGGGUGAGUAACGCGUAUCCAACCUGCCCAUCACUUGGGGAUAACCUUGCGAAAGUAAGACUAAUACCCAAUGAGGUCUCUAGAAGACAUCUGAAAGAGAUUAAAGAUUUAUCGGUGAUGGAUGGGGAUGCGUCUGAUUAGCUUGUUGGCGGGGUAACGGCCCACCAAGGCGACGAUCAGUAGGGGUUCUGAGAGGAAGGUCCCCCACAUUGGAACUGAGACACGGUCCAAACUCCUACGGGAGGCAGCAGUGAGGAAUAUUGGUCAAUGGGCGAGAGCCUGAACCAGCCAAGUAGCGUGCAGGAUGACGGCCCUAUGGGUUGUAAACUGCUUUUAUAAGGGAAUAAAGUGGGAGUCGUGACUCCUUUUGCAUGUACCUUAUGAAUAAGGACCGGCUAAUUCCGUGCCAGCAGCCGCGGUAAUACGGAAGGUCCGGGCGUUAUCCGGAUUUAUUGGGUUUAAAGGGAGCGUAGGCCGGAGAUUAAGCGUGUUGUGAAAUGUAGACGCUCAACGUCUGCACUGCAGCGCGAACUGGUUUCCUUGAGUACGCACAAAGUGGGCGGAAUUCGUGGUGUAGCGGUGAAAUGCUUAGAUAUCACGAAGAACUCCGAUUGCGAAGGCAGCUCACUGGAGCGCAACUGACGCUGAAGCUCGAAAGUGCGGGUAUCGAACAGGAUUAGAUACCCUGGUAGUCCGCACGGUAAACGAUGGAUGCCCGCUGUUGGUCUGAAUAGG
This 819-nucleotide ribosomal RNA is filed under the name uncultured bacterium. Its description in RNAcentral is "bacterial SSU rRNA". It matches the Rfam family "Bacterial small subunit ribosomal RNA", at positions 30 to 836 of the family's 1533-position model. The record is from RNAcentral.